RNAcentral lists this ribosomal RNA (236 nucleotides) under uncultured bacterium. RNAcentral's name for it is "partial 16S ribosomal RNA". It matches the Rfam family "Bacterial small subunit ribosomal RNA", at positions 541 to 776 of the family's 1533-position model. The record is from RNAcentral.
UUACUCGGAAUUACUGGGCGUAAAGCGUGCGUCGGUGGUUUUUUAAGUCCGUUGUGAAAGCCCUGGGCUCAACCUGGGAAUGGCAGUGGAUACUGGAAAGCUAGAGUGCGGUAGAGGGUAGUGGAAUUCCCGGUGUAGCAGUGAAAUGCGUAGAGAUCGGGAGGAACACCAGUGGCGAAGGCGGCUACCUGGACCAGCACUGACACUGAGGCACGAAAGCGUGGGGAGCAAACAGG